Molecule: long non-coding RNA, 836 nt
Filed under: Pogona vitticeps (central bearded dragon)
Lineage: Eukaryota; Metazoa; Chordata; Lepidosauria; Squamata; Agamidae
Description: lncRNA (ENSPVIG00000005344.1)
Source: RNAcentral
UGUAAAUCAUGGAAGGUAAGAAAUGCUGAGGUCUGAUAAUAGCUGGCAUUCUGUAUUCCAAGGAAAUGGAGCCACCAAAUCGUACUUGAAGAUUUUGGAGAUACUGUAAAUCUAUAUCCUGGUGUUGUUUGCCCAUUUGCAAUCUGUUCUCUCUACUAGGUGUGGCUGUGGACUUUCUUCCCUCUCUAGAGUCUGUUGAAAGCCUUCAGUUUGUUUGUUAGUAUGCUGUUGAUCUGUUCACAACUCGGCAUUUGUAAAAUGCAUAUACAGGGUAUCAUCCACCUUACACCUUUUAAUUUAUUUAUGGAGUGAAGGAAGGAAAGAAGCUCCAUAACAGACACCUGAAAUAUCUUGGGAUGCAAUCCAGAAAGUCCUAUUGAGGUGAUGAUAAAUUACUACAUUUGAUACAUUUAAAAGGGUGUCUGUUUAUAAAUUGGUGUUAAAUAUAGUCAGCUCUGGGUUGUGACAAGUGGUAUUUUGUUUAGUGAUAAUUAAGUAUUUUCCAUUUUCACCACAAAUUAUUGCUUUUCUGCAGGAUAUUUCUAACUCUGAAACACAGCUAGAUUUUGGAAAUUAAUGAUAUCAACGAUAUCUGUGUAUUAAUGUAUUCCUCCUUUGAAAAUGUUGUUGUGGUGCUUAAUAAGGAUAACCUAAGCCAGAAUGAGUAUAAAUAAUGGAAAUUGCAAAAUGUAGCAAAGUUUUGUAGCAAAUGCUUGUUUUACUUUUUUUAUUGAUGUUUUUAAUUUUAUUGCUUUUUUGGACUGUAAAAUACUCAAAGUAAGAUUCCUCUAGAUGGGUGAUAGAAAAGCCAAAUAAAUAAAAUAAAUAAACAAACA